Molecule: transfer RNA, 71 nt
Filed under: Anaerolineae bacterium
Lineage: Bacteria; Bacillati; Chloroflexota; Anaerolineae
Description: tRNA-Gln
Rfam family: tRNA
About the family: Transfer RNA (tRNA) molecules are approximately 80 nucleotides in length. Their secondary structure includes four short double-helical elements and three loops (D, anti-codon, and T loops). Further hydrogen bonds mediate the characteristic L-shaped molecular structure. tRNAs have two regions of fundamental functional importance: the anti-codon, which is responsible for specific mRNA codon recognition, and the 3' end, to which the tRNAs corresponding amino acid is attached (by aminoacyl-tRNA synthetases). tRNAs cope with the degeneracy of the genetic code in two manners: having more than one tRNA (with a specific anti-codon) for a particular amino acid; and 'wobble' base-pairing, i.e. permitting non-standard base-pairing at the 3rd anti-codon position.
Source: RNAcentral
UGGGGGAUAGUUCAACGGCAGAACAGUGGCCUCUGAAGUCAUUAAUCUUGGUUCGAAUCCAGGUCCCCCAG